RNAcentral lists this ribosomal RNA (249 nucleotides) under uncultured Actinomycetales bacterium. RNAcentral's name for it is "partial 16S ribosomal RNA". It matches the Rfam family "Bacterial small subunit ribosomal RNA", at positions 82 to 334 of the family's 1533-position model. Lineage: Bacteria; Bacillati; Actinomycetota; Actinomycetes; Actinomycetales. The record is from RNAcentral.
CGGAGGUACUCGAGUGGCGAACGGGUGAGUAACACGUGGGUGAUCUGCCCUGCACUCUGGGAUAAGCCUGGGAAACUGGGUCUAAUACCGGAUAGGACCAUGCUUUAGUGUGUGUGGUGGAAAGUUUUUUCGGUGUAGGAUGAGCCCGCGGCCUAUCAGCUUGUUGGUGGGGUAAUGGCCUACCAAGGCGGCGACGGGUAGCCGGACUGAGAGGUUGGUCGGCCACAUUGGGACCGAGAUACGGCCCAG